This 486-nucleotide ribosomal RNA is filed under the name uncultured bacterium. RNAcentral's name for it is "partial 16S ribosomal RNA". It matches the Rfam family "Bacterial small subunit ribosomal RNA", at positions 30 to 507 of the family's 1533-position model. The record is from RNAcentral.
AUUGAACGCUGGCGGCAUGCCUUACACAUGCAAGUCGAACGGCAGCACGGGUGCUUGCACCUGGUGGCGAGUGGCGAACGGGUGAGUAAUACAUCGGAACAUGUCCUGUAGUGGGGGAUAGCCCGGCGAAAGCCGGAUUAAUACCGCAUACGAUCUACGGAUGAAAGCGGGGGACCUUCGGGCCUCGCGCUAUAGGGUUGGCCGAUGGCUGAUUAGCUAGUUGGUGGGGUAAAGGCCUACCAAGGCGACGAUCAGUAGCUGGUCUGAGAGGACGACCAGCCACACUGGGACUGAGACACGGCCCAGACUCCUACGGGAGGCAGCAGUGGGGAAUUUUGGACAAUGAGCGAAAGCCUGAUCCAGCAAUGCCGCGUGUGUGAAGAAGGCCUUCGGGUUGUAAAGCACUUUUGUCCGGAAAGAAAUCCUUGGCCCUAAUACGGUCGGGGGAUGACGGUACCGGAAGAAUAAGCACCGGCUAACUACGUG